RNAcentral lists this ribosomal RNA (540 nucleotides) under fungal endophyte. RNAcentral describes it as "eukaryotic LSU rRNA". It matches the Rfam family "Eukaryotic large subunit ribosomal RNA", at positions 51 to 602 of the family's 3401-position model. The record is from RNAcentral. Lineage: Eukaryota; Fungi.
CGGAGGAAAAGAAACCAACAGGGAUUGCCCCAGUAACGGCGAGUGAAGCGGCAACAGCUCAAAUUUGAAAUCUGGCUCUCGGGCCCGAGUUGUAAUUUGUAGAGGAUGCUUUUGGUGAGGUGCCUUCCGAGUUCCCUGGAACGGGACGCCAUAGAGGGUGAGAGCCCCGUCUGGUUGGACACCGAUCCUCUGUAAAGCUCCUUCGACGAGUCGAGUAGUUUGGGAAUGCUGCUCUAAAUGGGAGGUAUAUGUCUUCUAAAGCUAAAUACCGGCCAGAGACCGAUAGCGCACAAGUAGAGUGAUCGAAAGAUGAAAAGAACUUUGAAAAGAGAGUUAAAAAGUACGUGAAAUUGUUGAAAGGGAAGCGCUUGUGACCAGACUUGGGCUUGGUUGAUCAUCCGGGGUUCUCCCCGGUGCACUCUUCCGGCUCAGGCCAGCAUCAGUUUGCCCCGGGGGAUAAAGGCUUCGGGAAUGUGGCUCUCUCCGGGGAGUGUUAUAGCCCGCUCGCUGUAAUACCCUGUGGCGGACUGAGGUUCGCGC